This 362-nucleotide ribosomal RNA is filed under the name uncultured Acidovorax sp. Its description in RNAcentral is "bacterial SSU rRNA". It matches the Rfam family "Bacterial small subunit ribosomal RNA", at positions 1020 to 1382 of the family's 1533-position model. Lineage: Bacteria; Pseudomonadati; Pseudomonadota; Betaproteobacteria; Burkholderiales; Comamonadaceae. The record is from RNAcentral.
AAGAGAGCCGUAACACAGGUGCUGCAUGGCUGUCGUCAACUCGUGUCGUGAGAUGUUGGGUUAAGUCCCGCAACGAGCGCAACCCUUGUCAUUAGUUGCUACAUUCAGUUGGGCACUCUAAUGAGACUGCCGGUGACAAACCGGAGGAAGGUGGGGAGUGACGUCAAGUCCUCAUGGCCCUUAUAGGUGGGGCUACACACGUCAUACAAUGGAUGGUACAAAGGGUCGCCAACCCGCGAGGGGGGAGCCAAUCCCAUAAAGCCAUUCGUAGUCCGGAUCGCAGUCUGCAACUCGACUGCGUGAAGUCGGAAUCGCUAGUAAUCGUGGAUCAGAAUGUCACGGUGAAUACGUUCCCGGGUCUU